This 211-nucleotide ribosomal RNA is filed under the name uncultured bacterium. Its description in RNAcentral is "partial 16S ribosomal RNA". It matches the Rfam family "Bacterial small subunit ribosomal RNA", at positions 568 to 775 of the family's 1533-position model. The record is from RNAcentral.
UGCGUAGGUGGCGCCGUAAGUCAGGUGUGAAAUUUCGGAGCUUAACUCCGAAACUGCAUUUGAUACUGCGGUGCUUGAGGACUGGAGAGGAGACUGGAAUUCACGGUGUAGCAGUGAAAUGCGUAGAUAUCGUGAGGAAGACCAGUGGCGAAGGCGGGUCUCUGGACAGUUCCUGACACUGAGGCACCGAAGGGGCCAGGGGAGGCAAACG